Molecule: long non-coding RNA, 168 nt
Organism: Coregonus clupeaformis (lake whitefish)
Lineage: Eukaryota; Metazoa; Chordata; Actinopteri; Salmoniformes; Salmonidae
Exons: 3
Source: RefSeq, a predicted model, not a curated record
GAAGCUGAGCUGAGACUAGAUGGUGAAAUUCGAACGCAAGCUAUGUUCCAAGUUUAUGGUUCCAGCAGCUCUGCAGUGCCAUGAGGAGCCUUGUGAAAUUGCCUUUAAAGAAAAGGCAAACCAUUUACCAGGAAGAAAGUUGAACAUUGGGUUCACAACCAGGGCUAA